This 468-nucleotide ribosomal RNA is filed under the name uncultured bacterium. RNAcentral describes it as "partial 16S ribosomal RNA". It matches the Rfam family "Bacterial small subunit ribosomal RNA", at positions 28 to 507 of the family's 1533-position model. The record is from RNAcentral.
GACGAACGCUGGCGGCGUGCUUAACACAUGCAAGUCGAACGGAAAGGCCCUGCUUUUGUGGGGUGCUCGAUUGGCGAACGGGUGAGUAACACGUGAGUAACCUGCCCUUGACUUUGGGAUAACUUCAGGAAACUGGGGCUAAUACCGGAUAGGAGCUCCUGCUGCAUGGUGGGGGUUGGAAAGUUUCGGCGGUUGGGGAUGGACUCGCGGCUUAUCAGCUUGUUGGUGGGGUAGUGGCUUACCAAGGCUUUGACGGGUAGCCGGCCUGAGAGGGUGACCGGCCACAUUGGGACUGAGGUACGGCCCAGACUCCUACGGGAGGCAGCAGUGGGGAAUAUUGCACAAUGGGCGGAAGCCUGAUGCAGCAACGCCGCGUGCGGGAUGACGGCCUUCGGGUUGUAAACCGCUUUCGCCUGUGACGAAGCGUGAGUGACGGUAAUGGGUAAAGAAGCACCGGCUAACUACGUG